Molecule: long non-coding RNA, 73 nt
Organism: Etheostoma spectabile (orangethroat darter)
Lineage: Eukaryota; Metazoa; Chordata; Actinopteri; Perciformes; Percidae
Exons: 3
Source: RefSeq, a predicted model, not a curated record
AAAAUUAUAUUCCAUUUCUGCCAAUAGAUUGCCCUAAAUCCUACACACUAUUCAUUUAAAAACUAAGUUCAGC